GAGGAGCUGCACAGUAAAGGUCCCCAAAUACACACCACCACGAGUGCAAAAACCCAGGCGGUUCUCCCAACGUGAUGUUUUUUUCCCAUCGAAUCUCCGACAAGAAGGUCUCUGCAGAUUUCUGUACUCUUACGUGCAGUAAAUAUUCGUAGACGUAUGAAGCUAACUUUUCCCAAGCCUGCCCAUCCGAGGGCACCGCCGAGCCUCUGCCUUUGGCAAACAUGGUUUGCAGGGAAGAGGGCGCCGAGCCUCGCCGCCGCCGCCGCUACCGCUCCGGCUCUCCCGCGCUGCUCCUCGCUCCCGGCCCCCUCCCCGGCGCUCGCUCGCUCUCUCGCUCGCUGGCGCUCUCCUCGCCGCGCUCCCCUCCCUCCCCACCAGGCGCUGGCUCCGCGCUCUUUCCAGCUGUCAAAGCGUCAGCCCGGGCCGCGGCCCCAUCGCCCUGGAACUCCUUCGGCGCCGGCUCGGCCUGGGGGUGCCGCCGCCGCCCGCACGGCCGCCCGCUCUCCGC
Molecule: long non-coding RNA, 508 nt
Filed under: Homo sapiens (human)
Lineage: Eukaryota; Metazoa; Chordata; Mammalia; Primates; Hominidae
Description: non-protein coding lnc-MPLKIP-9:1
Source: RNAcentral